AGCAGCCGCCGCGGUAAUACGUAGGUGGCAAGCGUUAUCCGGAAUUAUUGGGCGUAAAGCGCGCGCAGGCGGUUUCUUAAGUCUGAUGUGAAAGCCCACGGCUCAACCGUGGAGGGUCAUUGGAAACUGGGGAACUUGAGUGCAGAAGAGAAAAGCGGAAUUCCACGUGUAGCGGUGAAAUGCGUAGAGAUGUGGAGGAACACCAGUGGCGAAGGCGGCUUUUUGGUCUGUAACUGACGCUGAGGCGCGAAAGCGUGGGGAGCAAACAGGAUUAGAUACCCCGGUAGUCCCUGUCUCUUAUAC
Molecule: ribosomal RNA, 303 nt
Filed under: uncultured bacterium
Lineage: Bacteria
Description: partial 16S ribosomal RNA
Rfam family: Bacterial small subunit ribosomal RNA
Source: RNAcentral